RNAcentral lists this transfer RNA (92 nucleotides) under Streptomyces omiyaensis. Its description in RNAcentral is "tRNA-Gly". The record is from RNAcentral. Lineage: Bacteria; Bacillati; Actinomycetota; Actinomycetes; Kitasatosporales; Streptomycetaceae.
CUCGUCAUGCGUCAACGGUACGGGUUCGAGGGCUUUCCGGGUCCUCCCCGGCGGGUGGCGCGGGGAUCGGUUCCGGCCUGAUCGCCGAGGCC